UCACUCUAGUUUUUCUUCAGAUCGAAUAAAUCUUUUGCCUUGUUCUAAAGAUUUUUGUAGAGACGAACAACCAUGAGUUUUCCAUCAUUUUUUGAGGCUCUGCAUAAUGCAGGGCU
Bombina bombina (fire-bellied toad) is the source of this 116-nucleotide small nuclear RNA. RefSeq annotates it as U5 spliceosomal RNA. Lineage: Eukaryota; Metazoa; Chordata; Amphibia; Anura; Bombinatoridae. The transcript has a single exon. The record is from RefSeq and is a predicted model, not a curated record.